Molecule: ribosomal RNA, 924 nt
Filed under: uncultured Cortinarius
Lineage: Eukaryota; Fungi; Basidiomycota; Agaricomycetes; Agaricales; Cortinariaceae
Description: eukaryotic LSU rRNA
Rfam family: Eukaryotic large subunit ribosomal RNA
Source: RNAcentral
UAGCAUAUCAAUAAGCGGAGGAAAAGAAACUAACAAGGAUUCCCCUAGUAACUGCGAGUGAAGCGGGAAAAGCUCAAAUUUAAAAUCUGGCGGUCUUUUGGCUGUCCGAGUUGUAAUCUAGAGAAGUGUUAUCCGCGCUGGACCGUGUACAAGUCUCCUGGAAUGGAGCAUCAUAGAGGGUGAGAAUCCCGUCUUUGACAUGGACUGCCAGGGCUUUGUGAUGCGCUCUCAAAGAGUCGAGUUGUUUGGGAAUGCAGCUCAAAAUGGGUGGUAAAUUCCAUCUAAAGCUAAAUAUUGGCGAGAGACCGAUAGCGAACAAGUACCGUGAGGGAAAGAUGAAAAGAACUUUGGAAAGAGAGUUAAACAGUACGUGAAAUUGCUGAAAGGGAAACGCUUGAAGUCAGUCGCGUCGUCCAGGGAUCAACCUUGCUUUUGCUUGGUGCACUUUCUGUUCGAUGGGUCAGCAUCAAUUUUGACUGUUGGAAAAAGGUCAAGGGAAUGUGGCAUCUUCGGAUGUGUUUAUAGCCCUUGGUCGCAUACAAUGGUUGGGAUUGAGGAACUCAGCACGCCGCAAGGCCGGGUUUUAAACCACGUACGUGCUUAGGAUGCUGGCAAUAUGGCUUUAAUCGACCCGUCUUGAAACACGGACCAAGGAGUCUAACAUGCCUGCGAGUGUUUGGGUGGAAAACCCGAGCGCGUAAUGAAAGUGAAAAGUUGAGAUCCCUGUCGUGGGGAGCAUCGACGCCCGGACCAGACCUUUUGUGACGGUUCCGCGGUAGAGCAUGUAUGUUGGGAUCCGAAAGAUGGUGAACUAUGCCUGAAUAGGGUGAAUCCAGAGGAAACUCUGGUGGAGGCUCGUAGCGAUUCUGACGUGCAAAUCGAUCGUCAAAUUUGGGUAUAGGGGCGAAAGACUAAUCGAACCAU